AGAGCGAACGCUGGCGGCAGGCCUAAUACAUGCAAGUCGAGCGGCCACUUCGGUGGCAGCGGCGGACGGGUGAGUAACGCGUGGGAAUGUGCCCUUUGGUACGGAACAACUGAGGGAAACUUCAGCUAAUACCGUAUGUGCCCUUCGGGGGAAAGAUUUAUUGCCAUUGGAGCAGCCCGCGUUGGAUUAGCUAGUUGGUGGGGUAAAGCCCACAAGGCGACGAUCCAUAGCUGGUCUGAGAGGAUGAUCAGCCACACUGGGACUGAGACACGGCCCAGACUCCUACGGGAGGCAGCAGUAGGGAAUCUUGCGCAAAUGGGCAAAGCCUGACGCAGCCAUGCCGCGUGAAUGAUGAAGGUCUUAGGAUUGUAAAAUUCUUUCACCGGGGUAAGAUAAUGACGUACCGGAGAAGAAGCCCGCUAACUCGUGCCAGCAGCCGAC
RNAcentral lists this ribosomal RNA (441 nucleotides) under uncultured soil bacterium. RNAcentral's name for it is "bacterial SSU rRNA". It matches the Rfam family "Bacterial small subunit ribosomal RNA", at positions 26 to 518 of the family's 1533-position model. The record is from RNAcentral.